CCCUUAGAUGUUCUGGGCCGCACGCGCGCUACACUGAUGCAUUCAACGAGUCUAAAACCUGGUCUGAUAGGGCUGGGUAAUCUUUUGAAAGUGCAUCGUGAUUGGGAUAGAUGAUUGCAAUUCUUCAUCUUCAACGAGGAAUGCCUAGUAAACGCAAGUCAUCAGCUUGCAUUGAUUACGUCCCUGCCCUUUGUACACACCGCCCGUCGCUCCUACCGAUUGAAUGAUCCGAUGAAUACCAUGGAUUGAGAGUACGAAUGGGUUCGCUCAUUUCUGCUGUUCGAGAAGUGGAGUAAAUCUUAUCAUUUAGAGGAAGGAGAAGUCGUAACA
Molecule: ribosomal RNA, 330 nt
Filed under: uncultured eukaryote
Lineage: Eukaryota
Description: partial 18S ribosomal RNA
Rfam family: Eukaryotic small subunit ribosomal RNA
Source: RNAcentral